RNAcentral lists this ribosomal RNA (301 nucleotides) under uncultured bacterium. RNAcentral describes it as "partial 16S ribosomal RNA". It matches the Rfam family "Bacterial small subunit ribosomal RNA", at positions 509 to 807 of the family's 1533-position model. The record is from RNAcentral.
CAGCCGCCGCGGUAACACGUAGGGUGCAAGCGUUAAUCGGAAUUACUGGGCGUAAAGCGUGCGCAGGCGGUUCUAUAAGACAGAUGUGAAAUCCCCGGGCUCAACCUGGGAACUGCAUUUGUGACUGUAGAGCUGGAGUGCGGCAGAGGGGGAUGGAAUUCCGCGUGUAGCAGUGAAAUGCGUAGAUAUGCGGAGGAACACCGAUGGCGAAGGCAAUCCCCUGGGCCUGCACUGACGCUCAUGCACGAAAGCGUGGGGAGCAAACAGGAUUAGAUACCCCGGUAGUCCCUGUCUCUUAUAC